UUAGAGAGAAGGCGGCGAGAGUCUCCUAAGCUCCUGAAGCGGAGCUCGCUAUUCACUAACGCGGUUUGCGCCGGCGCCGUGACGUCAACGCCAUAGGGCGCCCGUGGGCUUUACGCCGCUAGCGCAAAGGCGUUGCUCUUUGCCUGCUGGGGAGGAGAGGGACAGAAAGAGGCUUAAAGAGACAACAGCGAGCCAUGGAGGGGCUGGGGGGGGAGAGGCCUUUGGGCCCCCACCCUUGAAGAGCCGGGGGCGGGGGAAGAAGCUCAGGUCUUUCUAGAUCUGAAAUUGAAAGUGUGUGAAUUCGUUUGCCAAAGGAACAACAGACCAGGAAGUACAUAAGCUUCCCCCCCACCCCCGCUUUCUUUGCAAAGAAUGUUAAAGCUUAGAAACGAAGACUUGCCACGAAAAGUUUGCUUCUGCGCCAUGUCGUCUUCACCAGCGAGCAUCCGACGGGAGAUGCUGAUUGGAGUCCUCGUGGACCUGGCAAGAGGACAGCCGUUCCACUAGCCCAGCACAUGUGGGUGGAGACUUAUCCCCUCGCACCCUCCCCUCCUCCAUCUCCAGCAUCCGCGAUGGUUUAUUAACCAAGAAGAACCCUGCUUUUGUAAUUCCUCUUCCGUCUUUUCUCC
This is a non-coding RNA of Python bivittatus (Burmese python), 629 nucleotides long. NCBI's taxonomy places the organism in Eukaryota, Metazoa, Chordata, Lepidosauria, Squamata, Pythonidae. The record is from RefSeq and is a predicted model, not a curated record.